AGUUGAUGAUGUGAGCCACCGUAUGGACCACACUGAAAACACAGAUGAGCCAUCCGAUCAUUUUAUGGAAGUAGAUGUGCCGGUCAAGCGGUAGAAGCCAGUCCAUUCCUUUCGAGCGCAGCCAGGUGAAGCAUCUCCGUAGCCUUAGGAGAUGUAUACCUGAAGACCUGGCAAUUACAAUCCACGCACCUGAAUGCCUGUACCGAUAGACCCGUUCGGCAACCAGAACCAGAUGAAUGACAACCAAGAUGAUGCCGAAACUGAAACACGUCCGAUGAUUUCCCGCGUGAAUGAUCCAUCGUUCCAAUCGGCACAUCUUCCUUUACCUAAGAAGUAAAUCUGCAUGUCCGCGUUCACUUUCUCCGUCAACGAGGAGACCCUUCUUAUCUGAAUAACAAGAGGCCACUGUCAGCAGGUGAAGUCACGCCAUAAAUGAAAAAAAGGAAAAGAAGAAAGAAACGAAAAACAACGAUUCUUGUGAGGGUAGCACCAGUAGUCCAAAAAGAACAAAGCUCUCCUUUCGCUUCCCCAUCGGUAGCAGCGCUAUGCGUCUAGUCUACCUAGGUGUAUGUGCGUCUGCUAAAUCCCGCUUUUCUCUUUUUGCUCAACCCAUUUUUUUUUUUUUUUGCUCGCUUCUCUUUCGUUCCAUCUCUCUUUCUCUUUCUCCCUCUCUCUUUCUCUCCCGGCCGCGUGAGUGCGCUUAAUAUCCUCGGGUCCGUAAACACACGUAGAGACGGGCGGUGAAAGUGCGGACGCGCUACGAUGAGAAGGCUCUCCUACAGCACUCCCUCCCUGUGUGUACCGAGACAAUGGAUCAUCAAGACAGGACCCACAUUUCACCGUACUACACCUACACGGCUGCUUUUUAAAAACAGCGGCAAAAGGAGAGAAAUUGCAACUAGAAAUCAACGAAUAUGGAAUUAUACUCAAAAUAUUGUGCACACUAGUGGCCAGGAAGCACUUCUUUCUGAUAAAUGCCGAACGAAUGGAGAAUUUGGAACAAGUGGAGAACUAACCUGAGUGUUAAUUUUUUUUCUGGUUCUGGAUGAAGAACACAUACACAACGUGGAAGAAUUAUAACAUGUUGG
Long non-coding RNA from Daphnia carinata, 1088 nucleotides. RefSeq lists it as uncharacterized. NCBI's taxonomy places the organism in Eukaryota, Metazoa, Arthropoda, Branchiopoda, Diplostraca, Daphniidae. The record is from RefSeq and is a predicted model, not a curated record. The transcript has 4 exons.